ACCUGGCUAGCUCUCUUGGUAGGGCAUGAGACUUUUAAUCUCAGGGUCAUGGGUUCAAGCCCCCUGCUGGGUG
This 73-nucleotide transfer RNA is filed under the name Pelodiscus sinensis (Chinese soft-shelled turtle). It matches the Rfam family "tRNA". From Rfam's summary of the family: Transfer RNA (tRNA) molecules are approximately 80 nucleotides in length. Their secondary structure includes four short double-helical elements and three loops (D, anti-codon, and T loops). The record is from Rfam by way of RNAcentral. Lineage: Eukaryota; Metazoa; Chordata; Testudines; Trionychidae.